RNAcentral lists this ribosomal RNA (255 nucleotides) under uncultured bacterium. RNAcentral describes it as "partial 16S ribosomal RNA". It matches the Rfam family "Bacterial small subunit ribosomal RNA", at positions 524 to 775 of the family's 1533-position model. The record is from RNAcentral.
UACAGGGGGUGCAAACGUUGCUCGGAAUCAUUGGGGCGUAAAAGCGCACGUAGGCGGUUCGUUAUGUCGGAUGUGAAAGCCCUUGCUUAACCGAGGAAGUGCAUCCGAAACUGGCGAGCUAGAGUACGAAAGAGGAUCGCGGAAUUCCCGGUGUAGAGGUGAAAUUCGUAGAUAUCGGGAGGAACACCGGUGGCGAAGGCGGCGAUCUGGGUCGAUACUGACGCUGAGGGUGCGAAAAGCGUGGGGAGCAACAGG